GCUUCAGUGGUGUAGCGGUAACAUUGGGUCUUCCCAUGGCCUAGCUCCGGGUUCGACUCCCGGCUGAUGCA
This 71-nucleotide transfer RNA is filed under the name Stereum hirsutum FP-91666 SS1. RNAcentral's name for it is "tRNA-Gly (CCC) (tRNA-Gly-CCC-2-1)". It matches the Rfam family "tRNA". From Rfam's summary of the family: Transfer RNA (tRNA) molecules are approximately 80 nucleotides in length. Their secondary structure includes four short double-helical elements and three loops (D, anti-codon, and T loops). The record is from RNAcentral. Lineage: Eukaryota; Fungi; Basidiomycota; Agaricomycetes; Russulales; Stereaceae.